CCCUUAGAUGUUCUGGGCCGCACGCGCGCUACACUGAUGCAUUCAACGAGCCUAUCCUUGACCGACAGGUCCGGGUAAUCUUUGAAUCUGCAUCGUGACGGGGAUAGAUUAUUGCAAUUAUUAAUCUUCAACGAGGAAUGCCUAGUAGGCGCAAGUCAUCAGCUUGCGUCGAUUACGUCCCUGCCCUUUGUACACACCGCCCGUCGCUCCUACCGAUUGGGUGUGCUGGUGAAAUGUUCGGAUCGGCCGUUUGUCGCGGUUUCCGCGUCAUGUGGCUGCGACGUUCAUUAAACCCUCCCACCUAGAGGAAGGAGAAGUCGUAACA
Molecule: ribosomal RNA, 325 nt
Filed under: uncultured eukaryote
Lineage: Eukaryota
Description: partial 18S ribosomal RNA
Rfam family: Eukaryotic small subunit ribosomal RNA
Source: RNAcentral